This 318-nucleotide ribosomal RNA is filed under the name uncultured eukaryote. Its description in RNAcentral is "partial 18S ribosomal RNA". It matches the Rfam family "Eukaryotic small subunit ribosomal RNA", at positions 1470 to 1796 of the family's 1831-position model. The record is from RNAcentral.
CCCUUAGAUGUUCUGGGCAGCACGCGCGCUACAAUGGUCUUCGCAAACGGAUGCAUUCUCGAAGGAGAAUGCCAAUCUUGGAAUCUAUGCCUUGGUCGGGACAGUUGCUUGCAAUUUUUCGACUCGAACCAGGAAUUCCUUGUAAUCGUGAUUCAUCACAUCACGAUGAAUACGUCCCUGCCCUUUGUACACACCGCCCGUCGCUCCUACCGAUCGAAGAGUUAGGUGAAUUGUUUUGAUCGAUAAGAUUUGACUAUGGUAACUCUCGUUGUGAAAUUCUGUGAAUCUGACUGUUUAGAGGAAGGAAAAGUCGUAACA